GACGAACGCUGGCGGCGUGCUUAACACAUGCAAGUCGAACGGAAAAGCCCUGCUUUUGUGGGGUGCUCGAGUGGCGAACGGGUGAGUAACACGUGAGUAACCUGCCCUUGACUUUGGGAUAACUUCAGGAAACUGGGGCUAAUACCGGAUAGGAGCUCCUGCUGCAUGGUGGGGGUUGGAAAGUUUCGGCGGUUGGGGAUGGACUCGCGGCUUAUCAGCUUGUUGGUGGGGUAGUGGCUUACCAAGGCUUUGACGGGUAGCCGGCCUGAGAGGGUGACCGGCCACAUUGGGACUGAGAUACGGCCCAGACUCCUACGGGAGGCAGCAGUGGGGAAUAUUGCACAAUGGGCUGAAGCCUGAUGCAGCAACGCCGCGUGCGGGAUGACGGCCUUCGGGUUGUAAACCGCUUUCGCCUGUGACGAAGCGUGAGUGACGGUAAUGGGUAAAGAAGCACCGGCUAACUACGUG
Molecule: ribosomal RNA, 468 nt
Filed under: uncultured bacterium
Lineage: Bacteria
Description: partial 16S ribosomal RNA
Rfam family: Bacterial small subunit ribosomal RNA
Source: RNAcentral